Molecule: ribosomal RNA, 254 nt
Filed under: uncultured bacterium
Lineage: Bacteria
Description: partial 16S ribosomal RNA
Rfam family: Bacterial small subunit ribosomal RNA
Source: RNAcentral
UACGUAGGGGGGCAAGCGUUGUCCGGAAUCAUUGGGCGUAAAGCGCGUGUAGGCGGCCCGGUAAGUCCGCUGUGAAAGUCGGGGGCUCAACCCUCGAAUGCCGGUGGAUACUGUCGGGCUAGAGUGCGGUAGAGGUAGCUGGAAUUCCCGGUGUAGCGGUGAAAUGCGUAGAUAUCGGGAGGAAUACCUAUGGCGAAAGCAGGCUACUGGACCGUCACUGACUCUGAUCUGCGAAAGCUAGGGGAGCAAACAGG